Molecule: ribosomal RNA, 494 nt
Filed under: Cenococcum geophilum
Lineage: Eukaryota; Fungi; Ascomycota; Dothideomycetes; Gloniales; Gloniaceae
Description: eukaryotic LSU rRNA
Rfam family: 5.8S ribosomal RNA (bases 171-324)
Source: RNAcentral
UCCGUAGGUGAACCUGCGGAAGGAUCAUUACAGAAAGUAAACGCGGAUCAAACCGCGAACUUCUAAACCUUUGACGAUUGACUCAUGUUGCCUCGGCGGGUUCUCCCGCCAGAGGAUACAUCGAAACUCCUGUUUUAACGGUGUUGUCUGAGCUAUAAGCAACGAAUCAAAACUUUCAACAACGGAUCUCUUGGUUCUGGCAUCGAUGAAGAACGCAGCGAAAUGCGAUAAGUAGUGUGAAUUGCAGAAUUCAGUGAAUCAUCGAAUCUUUGAACGCACAUUGCGCCCCUUGGUAUCCCGAGGGGCAUGCCUGUUCGAGCGUCAUUUCACCACUCAAGCCUGGCUUGGUGUUGGGCGACGUCCCCUUUAGGGACGCGCCUCGAAACGCUCGGCGGCGUGGCACCGGCUUUAAGCGUAGCAGGAUCUUUCGCUUUGGAAGUCGGGGCCCCGCCUGCCGGAAUACCUACUCGUAAGGUGACCUCGGAUCAGGCAGG